Molecule: ribosomal RNA, 254 nt
Filed under: uncultured bacterium
Lineage: Bacteria
Description: partial 16S ribosomal RNA
Rfam family: Bacterial small subunit ribosomal RNA
Source: RNAcentral
UACGUAGGGUCCGAGCGUUGUCCGGAAUUACUGGGCGUAAAGAGCUCGUAGGUGGUUUGUCGCGUUGUUCGUGAAAACUCACAACUCAAUUGUGGGCGUGCGGGCGAUACGGGCAGACUAGAGUACUGCAGGGGAGACUGGAAGUUCCUGGUGUAGCGGUGGAAUGCGCAGAUAUCAGGAGGAACACCGGUGGCGAAGGCGGGUCUCUGGGCAGUAACUGACGCUGAGGAGCGAAAGCGUGGGGAGCGAACAGG